UGGGGAAUUUUGGACAAUGGGCGAAAGCCUGAUCCAGCAAUGCCGCGUGUGUGAAGAAGGCCUUCGGGUUGUAAAGCACUUUUGUCCGGAAAGAAAUCCUUGGCUCUAAUACAGUCGGGGGAUGACGGUACCGGAAGAAUAAGCACCGGCUAACUACGUGCCAGCAGCCGCGGUAAUACGUAGGGUGCAAGCGUUAAUCGGAAUUACUGGGCGUAAAGCGUGCGCAGGCGGUUUGCUAAGACCGAUGUGAAAUCCCCGGGCUAACCUGGGAACUGCAUUGGUGACUGGCAGGCUAGAGUAUGGCAGAGGGGGGUAGAAUUCCACGUGUAGCAGUGAAAUGCGUAGAGAUGUGGAGGAAUACCGAUGGCGAAGGCAGCCCCCUGGGCCAAUACUGACGCUCAUGCACGAAAGCGUGGGGAGCAAACAGGAUUAGAUACCCUGGUAGUCCACGCCCUAAACGAUGUCAACUAGUUGUUGGGGAACUUCAUUUUCCUUAGUAACGUAGCUAACGCGUGAAGUUGACCGCCUGGGGAGUACGGUCGCAAGAUU
Molecule: ribosomal RNA, 549 nt
Filed under: uncultured bacterium
Lineage: Bacteria
Description: partial 16S ribosomal RNA
Rfam family: Bacterial small subunit ribosomal RNA
Source: RNAcentral